CGAUGGUAGCAAUAACGAUGGUAGCAAUAACGAUGGUGGUAAAAAAAAAAAAAAAAAAAAUGUGAACGAAAGUGCAGUAACAACUAAUACAAAAGUGGCUAGUGCUUGGGGAGUUAAAAAAUUGCUAACCUCUUACGCCUCCGUAGUAUACAAUGCAACAAAAAAAAAAAAUACGGUGAAUGAGAUAAAAACUGUCGAAGCGGAACAAAGUACCAAUGUAAGUGCACAACAUAUGCCACUGAACAAUGAUCAAGCGUUAGUGGAGGAGAAGAAGGACAAAAGUGACGAAAACGAUAAGACUGAAAAAGAUGACAAAAGUAGUAAAGGUAAAAAAAAUAAUAAAUCACAAAUUACAACUCCUAAAAACAAAGAAACGCCUAAACUAUGGGUAUCUGUCAUAACUAAAGGAACAACCCAGGGAAAUAACACGAAAGAUAGUAGCAACGAAAAUAGUGAUGGGGGUCAAUACAAUACGGAAAAAGCAGAUAAGCCUAGUACUGUGGAUAUGAAAAAACAUAACGAUAAUGACAACGUGAUCGUGAAUAAAAAGAAUGAACAAAAUAAUAUUAGCACUACGAAUAAAGGAACAGGGUAUAAAAAAAAAGAAGGUUUUCAAGAAUCGCAUUCACCUAAUCAAAAAAUGUUCAACGAAAUUAGUGGUGAUCAUAAAUCUAUGAAAACUGUUAGUAGUAUUGGUCAUAAACAGGAAGAAAAUAAAAACGCAACAAAGGGUAUGGAAGUAACCGAUAUGCAUAAUAACACAGAUACACUAUUAAAUACGAAUAAUAUGAUGCAUAAAGGAAUGGUGGUAUCAGUUGAUCAGAUGUAUAAUAAUGAUGUUGCUAAUGCUAGUAGCAAUACUAUUAAUAAAAAACAUCUUUCAGAUGCAAUACUCUCCAAAGUAAGAAACGAUAAGUAUGCUACAAACGAAAAUAAUAACAAUUUUAAUAAUAUUAGAAACAAGAAGGAAAGUGGUUCUAUGAAUAAGUGGCAUGAGGAAGAAGAUUUAACAACAGAAUUGAAGGAGCACAGAGCAACACACAGACAAAAAGAUACAACUUUAGAAAUGUCGGAAGAACAACAGUUAAUAAAAAAAAAACAGAUGAAAAAAAAAAGUGAUGAUAAAAAAGAUUAUUUUAAAGCAUCAAGUCAAGUAAUAGCAUCAACUACAAUAUUAAACCAAAUGAAAAAAAAUAAAAAUAUGAACAUCGAUAAUGAAUAUAGUAGUGACAGUGCAAGUAGCUAUAGUCGCAGCAACAGUAGUUAUAGCAACAGUGAAGAUAAUCACCAUAUGCGUUAUAAUAAUAAAAAGAAUGUUAAAAAUAUAAGUUCUGUUAGAAAUAAGCAUAUAAAGUCAAGUGACUCAUCAUCAUCAUCAUCAUCAUCCGAAUCGGUAGUAUCAGCAUCAGAAUCAGGAUCAUUAUCGUCAGAUAGUCAAGAUGAAAAUAGAAAAAACAAAAAAGAUAAGAAUGUUCCUAUAUAUAUGCCUAAUUUAUCGUUAAUGUGUAAUAAUAUAAAUAAAAAAAUAUUUUUUGGUGAUAUAAAUUUUUCGAAAGAUCGUAUUGAUAAUAUAGAAGCGAAUAAAAUAAAAAGUAACACUCAUUCUUUUAGUAAUGUCAAUAACAAUAAUAAUAGAGGUAUGAAUAUGAGCCAUAAGAAAGGUAAUGUUAGUAGUAGUACUAUUGGUAGUGGUAGAAGUGGUAGCAGUUACAGUAAUAUAAAUAAUAAUGAGAAUAGCAACUCUCGAGGUUAUAUAAAUAAACGAAACAGUAACAGUAAAAAUAUUAGUAACGUUGGUAGUAAUAAUGUAAAUUAUAAAAAGAACUACACUCUCGAUUUAUCCGAUGUUGGUAUAGAUAGUAACAAUUCUAACACUAGAAAUAAUGUUAAUUUUGGUACUGAUGUUCUUUAUAAUAUGGGCAGUAAUAAUAACAAUAGAGGUAAUCAUGUUAAUGGUAUGAUAAAUAAAAGCAAUUAUGGUAGUUAUAAUACACAUGGUUCAACAAGCACUACAAAUACAACAACAAAAACAAUAAUAAUAACAACAAUAACAACAAUAAUAACAACGGUAAUAGCAAUAAUGGUAACAAUCGCAAUAACCGCUAUAACCGCAACAACCGUAACCGAAACAAUAGAAGUAACAGUAGUAGUGCCAGUAGUAGUGUCAGUACUAUCAGUAAUCAACAUGACAAUAGUAAAGAUGGAACCACCAAUAUUAACAGUAGGAACUAUGCAAAUAUGAAUAAUAUAAAUAAUACUAGUACAAAUACUACGAGUAAUAAUAAUAAUGGUGCACUUACUACGAAUAUACCAAUAAAAAACACAAACACAGAUGUUAAUAGCA
Molecule: long non-coding RNA, 2344 nt
Filed under: Piliocolobus tephrosceles (Ugandan red Colobus)
Lineage: Eukaryota; Metazoa; Chordata; Mammalia; Primates; Cercopithecidae
Description: lncRNA (ENSPTEG00000019465.1)
Source: RNAcentral